AUGAAUCCCACCUCGGCGCCGGGUCCCGAUGGCCUCCCGGUGAAGUUCUUCCAGACCUUCUAGAACGUGAUUAAACCUGAGGUCAUGGCCAUCUUCGAAGAGUUCUACGUUGGGUCCAUUGACCUCGGUCGCCUAAACUUUGGGAUAAUCUCCCUCAUUCCCAAGGUGCAUGUCGCAUCUGACAUUCGCCAGUUUCGCCCGAUCACGGUCAUCAACGUGAUUUUCAGGAUUCUUGCAAAAGGGUACGCCAAUAUGGUGACCCUUCUUGCAGAUCGCAUUACUCACCCCAACCAGUCCGCCUUCAUCCGGGGCCGGUAUAUACUGGAUGGGGUCCUUGUCCUCCAUGAAGUACUCCAUGAGGUCCGCACCAAACAACUCAUGGCGGUCUUCUUGAAGAUUGAUUUCCAUAAGGCCUAUGAUACUGUUAGCUGGUCCUUCCUUCGGGAAGUGUUACUCCGGAAGGGCUUCGACGAUCGCUGGAUCACCAGAGUUAUGCAGAUGGUCUCCUGCGGUCGAACGGCUGUUAACAUUAACGGCGAGAUCGACCCUUUCUAUCAUAUACGUGAGCCAAAAUGCGCAAAUGGUCCCAGGCCUGGUAAGGCGACACCCAUGGGAAUACCGUGCGUGAGGCUGCAAAGUGUUAUGAGGUGUUACAUGCUAGAUUGGUGUGGCAUAUGA
Molecule: ribosomal RNA, 678 nt
Filed under: Triticum aestivum (bread wheat)
Lineage: Eukaryota; Viridiplantae; Streptophyta; Magnoliopsida; Poales; Poaceae
Description: partial small subunit ribosomal RNA
Source: RNAcentral